GCACUAGUGGUUCAGUGGUAGAAUUCUUGCCUUCCAUGCAGGAGACCCAGGUUUGGUUUCUGGCCAAUCCA
This 71-nucleotide transfer RNA is filed under the name Loxodonta africana (African savanna elephant). It matches the Rfam family "tRNA". From Rfam's summary of the family: Transfer RNA (tRNA) molecules are approximately 80 nucleotides in length. Their secondary structure includes four short double-helical elements and three loops (D, anti-codon, and T loops). The record is from Rfam by way of RNAcentral. Lineage: Eukaryota; Metazoa; Chordata; Mammalia; Proboscidea; Elephantidae.